This is a long non-coding RNA of Capsicum annuum, 603 nucleotides long. RefSeq lists it as uncharacterized. The transcript has 3 exons. NCBI's taxonomy places the organism in Eukaryota, Viridiplantae, Streptophyta, Magnoliopsida, Solanales, Solanaceae. The record is from RefSeq and is a predicted model, not a curated record.
CAAAAAAAACAAAUCAUAAAACAUAAUACGCACCAUCACACACGCACACAUUGGAUGCCGGCACUUGUCAACCCUAGGCCGGUAGUUGGCAUAAACGCACACACUAUCACAGAUUGAAGAAAGCUCCAAUUGCUUAAGAGUUUCCAUAAAUGCACACACUAGCACAGAUUGAAGAGAGCUCUGAUUGCUUUACUACUAAUCAAUUGCUACUGCUCUGAAAGAAAGCUUCGAUUGCUUUACUAAUGCUCAAUUGCUACUGCUCCAAAAGAAAAAAAGCUUCGAUUCCUACUAUUUACUACUCAAUUGCUAUUGGCAUCCCAGAAAUGUUAAGGACUGAAGAUUUUCCCAGAAAUUAGUGCGGAAUUGGGUUUUCUCCGGUUGACUUCCUAAGGUACACAUGGAGGCUGAAAGAAAGGACAUGCAAAUGCCAGGGGACAUAGCCCAGUUGCGAAUUCCAUUUCAUGAAAAAAUUACGUACGGAGUUGGGAGUAAGAACAAAUUGGCAGUGCUGAUGAGGCUUGUACCUUUGCAAAUUUCUCUGUGGCGCUAACUGCUCUAGUUCAACAGUGACAAACCACCCACAAAAGGAGUCCUUGCUGUGAA